Molecule: ribosomal RNA, 467 nt
Filed under: uncultured bacterium
Lineage: Bacteria
Description: partial 16S ribosomal RNA
Rfam family: Bacterial small subunit ribosomal RNA
Source: RNAcentral
GAUGAACGCUGGCGGCGUGCUUAACACAUGCAAGUCGAACGGUGAAGGCGGAGCUUGCUCUGCUGGAUCAGUGGCGAACGGGUGAGUAACACGUGAGCAAUCUGCCCCUGACUCUGGGAUAAGCGCUGGAAACGGCGUCUAAUACUGGAUACGAGCUGCGAAGGCAUCUUCAGCAGCUGGAAAGAACUUCGGUCAGGGAUGAGCUCGCGGCCUAUCAGCUUGUUGGUGAGGUAACGGCUAACCAAGGCGUCGACGGGUAGCCGGCCUGAGAGGGUGACCGGCCACACUGGGACUGGGACACGGCCCAGACUCAUACGGGAGGCAGCAGGGGAGAAUAUUGGACAAUGGGCGAAAGCCUGAUGCAGGAACGCCGCGUGAGGAACGACGGCCUUCGGGUAGUAAACCUCUUUUAGCAGGGAAGAAGCGAAAGUGACGGUACCUGCAGAAAAAGCGCCGGCUAACUACGU